GCGCCCGGGGCGAGGCGGGAAAGGCGCGUCGCGCGCUCCCUGAGGGCUGAGGCGGGAGCGGCCCGUGAGGGGAGAGCCGGGGCGGAACCCGCGGGAUCGGGGAAUACAACGCGGUAAACCCACCCAUCCCCGCCGAAGCCAGGGUUUCAUCGCCCGGUGUUCUCGGAGCGGCCUCCUUGUGAAGGCGCUCUAAGUCGGCAGUGUCGGAUUGCUCAGUUUGUUUGUCGUCCCAACACACGUAGUGAGGUGUCAGUCCGCCUAAGUCAUGACGGACAUCAGAAAGUAUUUCCCCUCCGCGUUUCUGCUCGAAAGAUAACAAGAUGGACAAGGAGGAGAAAGAAGUGUCUGUCAUUUAGCAAGGACAGCAAAGGAUCCUGAAAGCUGAACAGUGUUUCCAUUGUUUUAACACAAGCUCCGCUUCUCCACUGGAAGAUCCAAAUGACAAGGACACUGAGGGUUUCUUUCUCUUUGCUGUUUGUUUCCCUAGUAACAAAUACACAAGCUGCACUGUUAGAAUACCA
Molecule: long non-coding RNA, 521 nt
Organism: Corapipo altera (White-ruffed manakin)
Lineage: Eukaryota; Metazoa; Chordata; Aves; Passeriformes; Pipridae
Exons: 2
Source: RefSeq, a predicted model, not a curated record